Molecule: long non-coding RNA, 2774 nt
Filed under: Carica papaya (papaya)
Lineage: Eukaryota; Viridiplantae; Streptophyta; Magnoliopsida; Brassicales; Caricaceae
Description: long non-coding RNA (CPAP_LNC016234)
Source: RNAcentral
AGCCGUCCAUUUCAUCCAAUGGAAGCCGACAUUGGCUUCUCUAUGUCUUGACCGUUCGUGGAAGUUAAGAGAGAGAAAACAUUUUUCCUUUUAGUUUCAGGGGAGAGAGAGAGAGCGAGAGAGUCCUUGCCAGACAGGUAUGUCUUUUUGCCUUCUUUUUUCUUUUUUCUUCUAAAAUUUACUGUCUUUUGUAAUUAAGCUUAUUUACUGAUUCUAUCUUCGUCUACUAUUUCCUUGAUUUCUGUUUUCCGCCUUCAUGUGUUUGUGCAUGUAACUGGUAGUCGAAGUUGUAUAACUGUCUUUUCAGCUGUUUUCCUGUUAGGGUUUAUGUGGUUCUGAGUGAGUGGUGAUUUUGGUUAUAUGGAUCUUAAUUGAGUCCCCGUUGCGUUGUGUUGUUCUGCUGUGGAGAUAAGGUAUGAUUAUCGAGUUUGACUGGAUUUCAGAACUUGGUUGACUUUGGUUGUUGGGUUUUAACUUCAAGGAUUUUGCUGUUCUGUGAUGUGGGUUUUCGUUUUCACGAGUUUUUAUGAAGUGGGUUCCUCUCUCCGCCUCUUGUUCCUUUAUGGUUAUUUUCUGUGACUAACUAUGUUCAAGUCGUUUCCUCCUGAAACGAAGCUCAGUCUUCAAAAUUAUGAUAGAUUGUGAUAUUCAUGAGAUGGUUCUCCUCUGGUUCUUGUUUAUUUUUUAUUUUACUUUGUAUUGGAACCUUGUUUCUUUAGGUCUAGUGCUUAUAAGAAGGAAAAUUUUGAGGUGGAUUCCUUGCAGUUUAUGAGUUUCAUCAUUUUGAGUUGGAUUCCUUGCCUUUUAUGAGUUUCAUUAUACGUCUAUGGUUGUUCCACUAGUGAAAGCCUAUAUAUCUUGCUUGGUAAGUUAUUAAUCUAUAUUGUGUUAUGUAUCGUUUUAUUAGCUAGUGACUCGUAAUGUAUUAGGAAACGACUUAAUGUAUCAUUCCAAUUUUGUAAGUAUUUAAGAUUUUAAGAUGGUAGAGAAAAACAACAGUUUGAGGAAAAAAAACAACAGUUUAAGAUUAAUUUGAAUUUCUAUCACAUGUUUUUUUUUUCUUUUGAAAUAAAUUUCCAUCACAAGUUUGCUUAUGUUAUUUAGUAUUUGUGCUUCUAUGUCAUCAUAACAUUGUGUAAUGAAACAAAACAUGAUUUAUGUACUUACAUUUUUUGAGAACAUAUUAUUUUAUGAAGUUGCAUUUAUCUGUUACUUUGCCUUUUGUUAGAUUAUCCUUGUAAUGAUAAGGGGGAGGAUCUAGAUUUCAUUUUAAUGCUAAGGAGGAGGCUCAAUUAAAUGGAAUUUAACCAGUGAUGGAAUUACCUGGGAAAAAGCCUUUUUGAGUUCUGACAACAAAGUUGGUAUCAUGCCCUCUGCCCUUGAGAUACAAUUGAGAUGGAAAUGUAAUUACAGUGUGCAUGGAAUGGAAACUGAGUUCCAAUGAGGUUAAUUUACUUACAGUGACUGGUUGAUUUAUACAGAGCUGUAGUAAACAAUAUAGGAGCAGUUAUUGACAGGCAAAAAGGACUUUUUCGAAGAGUAUUUCAUACAUUCUGAGAUUUUUUAUAAACCCUGUCUUUUGCUCCUGUACAUCAUGGGUUUGAGUAUAUUCCCCACUGACUAAUAUGAAGGAAUAAGUAGGAGUUUGUUGUCAGUGAUGAUGCAAGCUGUAUCAGAAUCUCUUAGAAAAUUAGUUCCUGACUCAUCUAUGAGGACAUGGGAAAUGAGACCCUUAAGAACAUAGAUUUAUUGAACUUGAACUGCACUUGAUUAUGGGAUAUUUUAUCUGCCUACCGAGUUUCUUUCUUGUAAUCCUGCGUAAUUUGUCUGAAUCUUUUAGUUUCUGUAUCAAUGAUCUUGCUAACUUUAUAGAGACACAGAAAAAUUAACUUCUUUCUCUUUGUUUUUAGGAAGUUCUAAGAACUUGAGUUUCUAGGGCUUUUUCUCACGCUUUCCUUUCUUCUUGUUAGUUUUAAAUUACGUUAGUAGCAUAGAGAAAUAGGCAUGUUAUCACUUUAUUGCCCUGAAGUUGCAUUUUAUUUUGUUUACCUGGGGGGUGGUAGAUUCUCAAACCUUUUUGAUAGACAUCUGUCUUAACUUGAUCAUUUGUUUCUCACAGCCUUCCUGCUGGGUUUAUUGGCAAGAGGGAUCUUGUCUCCCCACUGAUGUUCUCAAUCCAAGAUUGUGGUGCGUAUCAAAGGUGCAGAUCAAAUGCCAUCUUUAAAAAUGAAGACCAAAUUAAGCACGGGCUCUUUAAGAGAAAAAAAUGGGCUUCAUGUAUGUCAAAAGUCUAAUGCUAUUUCUAAAACUUCAUGUUCCCGUGCUGGAAAUAGUCCACAGAUUGCUGAACUGGAUAUCUGUAUCCAGAAUAGUCAUAAUGGUAAGCUGCUAUGACUAAAAAAGGCUGAUGGUGCACUUUGGUUCUUAUCAUUAAAGAAUAUUUUGUGUUUCCCUGUUCAUAGUUUUCAAAUCCAGUGCCAUUUACGUAAGCAUUGUUAAGUCCUAACAGAUGGGGUAACCACAGUGCUAAGAAUGCGUUUCAUCUUUCUUGAAAUGCUAAGAUUCUUUUUCGUCUUUCUUGAAAUGGGGGUUGUGUUUGUGAUGGAUCCUAGAUUGUCAAUCUCGCCUGGAAAGAACAUAAAAAGAAAGAACAAACUUAGUACAAGCAUAAAUAUGGUAUUUGUUUAUGCAUGGUAACUAUUGAACUUCUUAGUUUUUAAUUUUUCGUUUUACUAUCAUUGGAAAAUUUAUAAUUUUUGUGCUGUUGGCUUCCA